Mauremys reevesii (Reeves's turtle) is the source of this 271-nucleotide long non-coding RNA. RefSeq lists it as uncharacterized. The record is from RefSeq and is a predicted model, not a curated record. The transcript is spliced from 3 exons. NCBI's taxonomy places the organism in Eukaryota, Metazoa, Chordata, Testudines, Geoemydidae.
GGGUGUUACAGCAGGACACCGGGGGCCUAGAGAUAAGGCUAGUGAAAAACAUUGUAAGCCUAGCCUCAGACCAGAUGAGAGAGACUCAGGAAGCAACAACUGAAGUAAAAGUGGCAGCUAGCAACACGUUAGUGACUCUGGCAAGCUGCUAUUUUGAUCAUGUCAUGUAUGAGCUACACUGUCAUCUGAAACCACCGAAGCUGCCUGAAGAGUUUAUUUUAGUUACGCUGGCCAACCUGUCAUCAGCCUAUGCACGUAAGUGUAUCCCUUU